This 305-nucleotide ribosomal RNA is filed under the name uncultured bacterium. Its description in RNAcentral is "partial 16S ribosomal RNA". It matches the Rfam family "Bacterial small subunit ribosomal RNA", at positions 505 to 809 of the family's 1533-position model. The record is from RNAcentral.
ACAGCAGUCGCCACGGUAAUACGAGGGGGGCAAGCGUUGUUCGGAAUUAUUGGGCGUAAAGGGCGCGUAGGCGGUUUGGCAAGUUUCGUGUGAAAUCUUCGGGCUCAACUCGAAGUCUGCACGGAAAACUGCCGGGCUUGAGUAUGGGAGAGGUGAGUGGAAUUUCCGGUGUAGCGGUGAAAUGCGUAGAUAUCGGAAGGAACACCUGUGGCGAAAGCGGCUCACUGGACCAUAACUGACGCUGAGGCGCGAAAGCUAGGGGAGCAAACAGGAUUAGAUACCCGCGUAGUCCCUGUCUCUUAUAA